CGCCGGCGAGUGGCGAACGGGUGAGUAAUGCAUCGGAACGUACCCAGUAGUGGGGGAUAACUUACCGAAAGGUAAGCUAAUACCGCAUACGCACUGAGGUGGAAAGCAGGGGACCGCAAGGCCUUGCGCUAUUGGAGCGGCCGAUGUCGGAUUAGCUAGUUGGUGGGGUAAAGGCCUACCAAGGCGACGAUCCGUAGCGGGUCUGAGAGGAUGAUCCGCCACACUGGAACUGAGACACGGUCCAGACUCCUACGGGAGGCAGCAGUGGGGAAUUUUGGACAAUGGGCGCAAGCCUGAUCCAGCCAUGCCGCGUGAGUGAAGAAGGCCUUCGGGUUGUAAAGCUCUUUCGGCCGGGAAGAAAUCGUGGUGGCGAAUACCUGCCAUGGAUGACGGUACCGGACUAAGAAGCACCGGCUAACUACGUGCCAGCAGCCGCGGUAAUACGUAGGGUGCGAGCGUUAAUCGGAAUUACUGGGCGUAAAGCGUGCGCAGGCGGUUGUGUAAGACAGGCGUGAAAUCCCCGGGCUCAACCUGGGAACUGCGCUUGUGACUGCACGGCUAGAGUACGGCAGAGGGGGGUGGAAUUCCACGUGUAGCAGUGAAAUGCGUAGAGAUGUGGAGGAACACCGAUGGCGAAGGCAGCCCCCUGGGUCGAUACUGACGCUCAUGCACGAAAGCGUGGGGAGCAAACAGGAUUAGAUACCCUGGUAGUCCACGCCCUAAGCGAUGUCGACUAGUUGUUGGAGGGGUAAAACCCUUUAGUAACGUAGCUAACGCGUGAAGUCGACCGCCUGGGGAGU
Molecule: ribosomal RNA, 800 nt
Filed under: uncultured bacterium
Lineage: Bacteria
Description: bacterial SSU rRNA
Rfam family: Bacterial small subunit ribosomal RNA
Source: RNAcentral